GUAGGACUCACUGACUUUUCCAGUGGGACUUGGGAGGACCUUUCACUGGGGAGGAACUGACUACAGUACCACACCAAGGGGGUGUAGACGCCCCACGCUUUGCUGAGUCUGUCAAGCAGACUCAUGGGGAGGGAGACCUCCCUCCCCAUGGUUUCCUGAGUGCCGGGGUCAUCUCUUCCAAGCGCAUCCCUGGGACACACCCCGCCAGGUGGCCAAGGCAAGCUCUCAUUCAGCCUUUCUUCCGAUGCAGCACUGACUGUGUUUCAAACUUCAGCUGAAGUUCAGGGCCGAGCAGUGAGGCCUCACCUGCCAGCAGGGUGGGUGGGGGUGAGUCUGCGAGUCCCGACUUCCCUUCCUCACUCUGGGGUCGCCUGGAAUGCCUCAGCUUGCCGGGUCACCGCGCAGCCUCCUCUGACGCUUCUGAGUGGGACGAGAGGCCAGAGCAAAGGGUCCUCUUCCUUUUCUGCUGCCCCAGCAACUGGUCACUGACCAGCAAGACAGCUGCACCCCGGGCGGGCCUGGCUGGCUGGGGAGACGAGAGAGGCAUUGACAUCCCUGAAACUUGCCUGCAGCUCCCAUUACUGAAGAUCACAGUGCAUAUUCAGCCAUGGUCACUUGAGAGAAGAAAAGAAAAACAAAACAAGACAAAAUGAAUAACCUAAAACAAUUAAAAGGUAAAAGAAAAACACCAGAGUCAAUUAUCUACUUUUCUUUCCCUCAGGUUGUCAAAUAAAGGUCAUUCCCCUACCACGUUUUGAAAAACCAAGACAAAGAGUUCUCUGAGUUAUGAGCACUUGUGGCAAAUUACUUAAUACAGGAAGUGCCACACUGAGCGAGUCACCAUGCUCCCCCAACUGCACGGGUGGCAGACAUUCCCUGGCCGAGGGGCAGUGUCCCGGCAGCUGGCGCUCUCCCUGCGGGCAGAGACGCACCCUCAGACAACGGCCUGAUAUCUGGGGAACGUCCACCCUGGAGUCACCUGCCAGGUGCCAGGGGAACAGAAACUCGCCGCCAUCCAGCUCUCAGGUAAAGAGGAGGCUUGUGUGGUCCCCGCGGAGAGGGAGACUCAAACAGAGAGACAAGAGACAGGAGGCAGGAGGGAGCUGAACAUCCACCAGGCAGUCAGGGAGAGCCCAUCAACACGUGCUUGUAGUACGCCAGUGUCAGUGAUUUCAGCAAACUCCACCACAUCCACUAAAGCUUGACUUUAGAAGCGUGCUAUACGCUACUACAUACUGGAUGAUAAACAGCAAGACCCUACUGUAUAGAACAGUGAACUAUAUUCAAUAUCCUGUGGUAAAGCAUAAUGGAGAAUGUGAAAACAAAUGCAUAUAAACAUGUAAGUCACUCUGCUGUACACCAGAAACUAACAACAUUGUAAACAUCAACUACACUUAAAUUAAAAAAAAAAAAAAAGCAUGUGUUGCUUUCUUACUGGUUUGUUUUAAAUAGUUAUUGCUGCUGCUGCUGCUAAGUCGCUUCAGUCGUGUCCAACUCUGUGCAACCCCAUAGACGGCAGCCCACCAGGCUCCCCCGUCCCUGGGAUUCUCCAGGCAAGAACACUGGAGUGGGUUGCCAUUUCCUUCUCCAACGCAUGAAAGUGAAAAGUGAAAGUUGCUCAGUCGUGUCCGACUCUUCGCAACCCCAUGGACUGCAGCCUACCAGGCUCCUCCCUCCAUGGGAUUUUCCAGGCAAGAGUACUGGAGUGGGGUGCCAUUGCCUGCUCCGAAAUAGUUAUUAGGCUUUGCAAAAAAAUAAAAAGAACCCACACAAGUUUACUAAUAUUCA
Molecule: long non-coding RNA, 1788 nt
Filed under: Bos mutus (wild yak)
Lineage: Eukaryota; Metazoa; Chordata; Mammalia; Artiodactyla; Bovidae
Description: lncRNA (ENSBMUG00000026196.1)
Source: RNAcentral